UGGAAGACUUAAAGAUCAAGCUACACACCAAUUUUGAGAUAAAGUUAACGGUUGGAAAGGGAGAAAUCAUUGUUGGAAUCUUUGCUUUACUUUUUAAGUUGGCGGCCGAGUGACAUUAGUGCAAUUUUUGGAGGUUUUCUCACAAUCUGUAAUUUGGAUUAGACUAAAAAUUCUUGAGCAUUUAGAAGACUUGCAUUGACAAUUGCAUGCAAAAUUCCACAUCAAGUGGACGGUUAGAUUGGACGUUACAGCUUGUUAAAGCUCACUAAUUAGGAUUGGAGUUGAUAAGAAAAAUCUAAAUUGCUUAA
Molecule: long non-coding RNA, 308 nt
Filed under: Physcomitrium patens
Lineage: Eukaryota; Viridiplantae; Streptophyta; Bryopsida; Funariales; Funariaceae
Description: long non-coding RNA (PPAT_LNC010221)
Source: RNAcentral